GCUCAGAUUGAACGCUGGCGGCGUGCUUAACAUAUGCAAGUCGAACGAAGCACCUUGAUUUGAUUCUUCGGAUGAAGAUCCUGGUGACUGAGUGGCGGACGGGUGAGUAACGCGUGGGUAACCUGCCUCAUACAGGGGGAUAACAGUUAGAAAUGACUGCUAAUACCGCAUAAGACCACAGCACCGCAUGGUGCAGGGGUAAAAACUCCGGUGGUAUGAGAUGGACCCGCGUCUGAUUAGGUAGUUGGUGGGGUAACGGCCUACCAAGCCGACGAUCAGUAGCCGACCUGAGAGGGUGACCGGCCACAUUGGGACUGAGACACGGCCCAAACUCCUACGGGAGGCAGCAGUA
This 352-nucleotide ribosomal RNA is filed under the name uncultured bacterium. RNAcentral describes it as "bacterial SSU rRNA". It matches the Rfam family "Bacterial small subunit ribosomal RNA", at positions 22 to 356 of the family's 1533-position model. The record is from RNAcentral.